Long non-coding RNA from Mus musculus (house mouse), 680 nucleotides. RefSeq annotates it as predicted gene, 31494. The record is from RefSeq and is a predicted model, not a curated record. NCBI's taxonomy places the organism in Eukaryota, Metazoa, Chordata, Mammalia, Rodentia, Muridae. The transcript is spliced from 5 exons.
GUCACUGUUGGAAUCUGGACUUUGGAAUCAAAGAGACUCAGAGCAAGGAUGAAGUUCCAAGAAGAGAGCUCUUACGCUAACACUUUUCAUUCAUCAUUAUACUUUGCUAGUUAUGCAUCUAACAUUUGCCCCUUGGAUUGCCUAGCAUUUGACUAGAAGGUAUGAAGUUCUAACCAAGAAGCUGAGAUGCACCUCAUCUUCUUCUCCUGGACCCCAGAAUGAAAUGAAAACUGGAGAAGAAAGGCUGAGUUGAAGGCAGUGUUUCUAGCAAGGCCAUGUCAAGCAAACCUCUGCGAAGAGGACCACCAACAAGGGACCGAGUGUUUAAUGACCAGACCAUGUGCAACAUUUCACAUUCAAACCAGAGACAUUGUGUGCUCCACUGCCCCCGUUUUCACAGCAGCCUUGUGGUUUACACUGAGCACAGUUAAAACAGUUAACAUGACCUCUGAGGGAAACGAAGGCCCAGGCGCUGCUCCAUUUUGUCUCUGUUAUCACACUGUUUCCCUGGUGGCUCUCAGGGUAACUGCUUUUGUAAUCCGGGUGUUAGUCAUUUGUAUCAUCUGAGAUUAACAGUAACAGAAAAAGUAAAUGGACUAUAGAUUGUGCGUUCUUUAUUCAAACUGCUUCAAGAUCUAAAGCAUUUUGAGCGCUGACGUGACUCCACAGUUGGGAUCUUC